AACUAUAUCUCUACCCCGAUAUAACACAGUCCUUGGGAGACAAAAAAUCUCACCGCAUUGUAGGUGAGACCACGUUAUAUCAAACUUGCUUG
Molecule: non-coding RNA, 92 nt
Organism: Chelonoidis abingdonii (Abingdon island giant tortoise)
Lineage: Eukaryota; Metazoa; Chordata; Testudines; Testudinidae
Source: RefSeq, a predicted model, not a curated record